Molecule: transfer RNA, 84 nt
Filed under: Akkermansiaceae bacterium
Lineage: Bacteria; Pseudomonadati; Verrucomicrobiota; Verrucomicrobiia; Verrucomicrobiales; Akkermansiaceae
Description: tRNA-Leu
Rfam family: tRNA
About the family: Transfer RNA (tRNA) molecules are approximately 80 nucleotides in length. Their secondary structure includes four short double-helical elements and three loops (D, anti-codon, and T loops).
Source: RNAcentral
GCUCAUGUGGCGGAAUUGGUAGACGCGCCAGACUUAAAAUCUGUUGUCCUUCGGGACGUACCGGUUCGAUUCCGGUCAUGAGUA